UUGGAGGGCAAGUCUGGUGCCAGCAGCCGCGGUAAUUCCAGCUCCAAUAGCGUAUAUUAAAGUUGUUGCAGUUAAAAAGCUCGUAGUUGAAUUUCGGGGUUAGUAGGUUGGUCAUGCCUCUGGUAUGUACUGGUCUCACUGAUUCCUCCUUCCUGAUGAACCGUAAUGCCAUUAAUUUGGUGUUGCGGGGAAUUUGGACUGUUACUUUGAAAAAAUUAGAGUGUUUAAAGCAAGCUAACGCUUGAAUACAUUAGCAUGGAAUAAUGAAAUAGGACGUUCGAUCCUAUUUUGUUGGUUUCUAGGAUUGACGUAAUGAUUAAUAGGGAUAGUUGGGGGCAUUAGUAUUCAAUUGUCAGAGGUGAAAUUCUUGGAUUUAUUGAAGACUAACUACUGCGAAAGCAUUUGCCAAGGAUGUUUUCAUUAAUCAAGAACGAAAGUUAGGGGAUCGAAGACGAUCAGAUACCGUCGUAGUCGUAACCAUAAACUAUGCCGACUAGGGAUCGGAUGAUGUUAAUUUUUUAAUGACUCAUUCGGCGCCUUACGGGAAAC
This 549-nucleotide ribosomal RNA is filed under the name uncultured Glomeromycotina. Its description in RNAcentral is "SSU rRNA". It matches the Rfam family "Eukaryotic small subunit ribosomal RNA", at positions 548 to 1098 of the family's 1831-position model. The record is from RNAcentral. Lineage: Eukaryota; Fungi; Glomeromycota.